UUAAAGGGCUAAUGUCAUAAAAGCCCUCAAGUUUUCAAGAAAUAUUCGGUUAUAUCCUAAGUUCAAUUUUAUGUUCACAAAAACCGCACAUUUGGGCAAAAAUUGUCAUAAUUGCCCUAUUUUCCGAUUUUACCCUUCUAUGAGGUGUUUGGUUCAGUGGUUUGUUGUUCAGUAAUUGUCACCCAAACACCCCUGUCCUCUUGCUCGAUUUCUAUUGUUGUUGGAGACCAAAAACAACUCCACCGGUGAGCUUCCUGCCGAGAGAAAACGAGCCAGAAACCCACCGGCUGCCAUCUCCUGCUCACCACCGUUCCAUCACCUCAUUCGAUUGCUGAGCAAACCGACGAGCACCCCCUGAAGAUCGAUGCUCCCCUCUGAAUCGAACCUCGAGUCCAAUGAAUCCAACGUUGAAACAUUUCUUCCCCCGAAUUUCACUACCAUGAAACCCAACUCUUGUCGUCGCCCCUGAUUGUCUAUCAGAUGCAAACUCCUGCAAUUUUACCCACUUCACCUCAGAGCAAAACAAAUGGAAGUUUUGGUUUAGGUUUCAUUUGGGUUUAAUUUCAAGUUUGUGCAUUUGUGUUGCUAACCACGAUUUUGAUUUCAUCUGUGGUUUUUGAGUUUAAAUUUUGGGUAUCAUAACUGGGUUUAAUUUUUAGGUUUGAGCACCCAUGACAUCAAUUUGGGCACUGAGUUUAGAUAUGGGUAAGAAAAGGAGGUGGUGAUGGUGGACGAUGUCAAUGUAGAUGUGCUGGCGGUGGUGGAUUUUAGGGAUGGUAGCAGUGAUGUUUGAUAUUUGAUGGUGAUGGUGAUGCAUAUCACAGGUGGUGGUGGUUUCUGGGUUACGAUUAGAUGAUCUUGUUCAUGGGAAUUUAUUCCUUGAGACCAAACUGAGAUUGUUCAUGGGAAUUGAUUCAAUAUAUGGAUUUCGUUGAGUAUGAAUGACAUAUCUUUGAGCUUCUAUGGUGAUGAACAACAAACCACUGAACCAAACACCCCCCAAUGCCAAAGAAGGGUAAAAUCGGAAAAUACGGCAAUUAUGACUUUUUUUGCCCAAAUGUGUGGUUUUUGUGGACAUAAAAUUGGACUUAGGAUAUAUCCAAACAUUUGUUGAAAAUUUGAAGGUUUUUAUGACAUUAGCCCUUUUUUAAAUUGGUUAAAACCAAUUUUCCAACACUUUUGCUGAAUAAUUUUGCACAAAUAAAAAAUAGUUUCCUGCUACAUGUUAGUUUUGCAAAUACGCUCGAUGUCCUCAAAGUGGAGAUAUUCGAAUGCCACCAUCAUUUGUAAAAUCACCAUCAACACUUGGGCGUAGGUCCCCGGCACCAUCUAGAAAGACAAGAUGUUACACAAGAAAGGACACAAUAAUUGUCAAUUAUAUAAGAUCGUACCAGCACCCACAAAGUAAAUUUCAAUUGACAAAAUAUUUGUGCACUUUUAAAGCUUCAAUCUCCAUCAUCUCCAUAUCAUCAACAACAUUCACUUAUUUUUUUUUUUCAUCAAUGGCUUCAGAAGGAAAAUAUAAUCAUGAAACAAGUAUCCCUUCAAAUUUCUGGACACGGGAUCAGUGGUUCAUAGCCAUAACAGCCAUGGUGUUAAGUUUGAUCAUGGGAUACUUGGUUUAUGAUGCUGUCAUGUCCACAGCAGUUGAAAUGCUGCAAAGUCUGCUAAUGAUUUCACCUCUGAUCUUGGUCAUUGUGGUUCACUGGCUCUCGGCUCCUAACCGGUUUAGCAUUCCCGUGCCAGGUUCCGAGCCAAAUGCCAUCCAUCAAGCUGGUGGCUCACCAUGGGGUAUAACAUUGAUUCUUGCUCUACUGUUUUUCCUUAUAUCUCACCAGCCUUCCCUUCGUGGUUUUCUUUUUUAGCUGCCUUUAGCUAGCUUUUAUGAUUAUGUAAUAUGUAUGAACUAGUUUAGACGAUUAGGCAGCUAUCUCCAUUUGUUAUUGCUAUCGUGCACUUGUUAGUUGAUUUUGUUCCUCAACGAUCGGCUAUAUGUGAACUUAGGUUAGUUAAUUGUCUCUAUUGAUUUUAGAUUUUUAAUAGUCUACAACUAUUUUGAAAAAUUAUGUAUUGUUCUGAUGUAAAUAAUUCAUUCCUCGUUCAAGAUUUAUGUAACUA
Molecule: non-coding RNA, 2118 nt
Organism: Lactuca sativa (garden lettuce)
Lineage: Eukaryota; Viridiplantae; Streptophyta; Magnoliopsida; Asterales; Asteraceae
Source: RefSeq, a predicted model, not a curated record